Molecule: long non-coding RNA, 161 nt
Organism: Papaver somniferum (opium poppy)
Lineage: Eukaryota; Viridiplantae; Streptophyta; Magnoliopsida; Ranunculales; Papaveraceae
Exons: 3
Source: RefSeq, a predicted model, not a curated record
UUUCGAUCUGAAGAUAUAUUUCUUAAGAGAAACGAUGCUGGUGACCAUUUUCCCUCACUUGCAAUCUGCUUAGGCUUUGAACUGUUAAGUACCGUUAUCAGGGACUGUCGUAAAGCUUUAUCACCCUGAUUGUGUUGGAAAGGUUCCUCAAUUUGCGAAAC